ACAUGCAAGUCGAGCGGACAGAAGGGAGCUUGCUCCCGGAUGUUAGCGGCGGACGGGUGAGUAACACGUGGGUAACCUGCCUGUAAGACUGGGAUAACUCCGGGAAACCGGAGCUAAUACCGGAUAGUUCCUUGAACCGCAUGGUUCAAGGAUGAAAGACGGUUUCGGCUGUCACUUGCAGAUGGACCCGCGGCGCAUUAGCUAGUUGGUGGGGUAAUGGCUCACCAAGGCGACGAUGCGUAGCCGACCUGAGAGGGUGAUCGGCCACACUGGGACUGAGACACGGCCCAGACUCCUACGGGAGGCAGCAGUAGGGAAUCUUCCGCAAUGGACGAAAGUCUGACGGAGCAACGCCGCGUGAGUGAUGAAGGUUUUCGGAUCGUAAAGCUCUGUUGUUAGGGAAGAACAAGUGCGAGAGUAACUGCUCGCACCUUGACGGUACCUAACCAGAAAGCCACGGCUAACUACGUGCCAGCAGCCGCGGUAAUACGUAGGUGGCAAGCGUUGUCCGGAAUUAUUGGGCGUAAAGGGCUCGCAGGCGGUUUCUUAAGUCUGAUGUGAAAGCCCCCGGCUCAACCGGGGAGGGUCAUUGGAAACUGGGAAACUUGAGUGCAGAAGAGGAGAGUGGAAUUCCACGUGUAGCGGUGAAAUGCGUAGAGAUGUGGAGGAACACCAGUGGCGAAGGCGACUCUCUGGUCUGUAACUGACGCUGAGGAGCGAAAGCGUGGGGAGCGAACAGGAUUAGAUACCCUGGUAGUCCACGCCGUAAACGAUGAGUGCUAAGUGUUAGGGGGUUUCCGCCCCUUAGUGCUGCAGCUAACGCAUUAAGCACUCCGCCUGGGGAGUACGGUCGCAAGACUGAAACUCAAAGGAAUUGACGGGGGCCCGCACAAGCGGUGGAGCAUGUGGUUUAAUUCGAAGCAACGCGAAGAACCUUACCAGGUCUUGACAUCCUCUGACAACCCUAGAGAUAGGGCUUUCCCUUCGGGGACAGAAUGACAGGUGGUGCAUGGUUGUCGUCACCUCGUGUCGUGAGAUGUUGGGUUAAUUCCCGCAACGAGCGCAACCCUUGAUCUUAGUUGCCAGCAUUUAGUUGGGCACUCUAAGGUGACUGCCGUGACAACCGGAAG
Molecule: ribosomal RNA, 1130 nt
Filed under: Bacillus pumilus
Lineage: Bacteria; Bacillati; Bacillota; Bacilli; Caryophanales; Bacillaceae
Description: bacterial SSU rRNA
Rfam family: Bacterial small subunit ribosomal RNA
Source: RNAcentral